RNAcentral lists this ribosomal RNA (396 nucleotides) under uncultured bacterium. RNAcentral's name for it is "bacterial SSU rRNA". It matches the Rfam family "Bacterial small subunit ribosomal RNA", at positions 28 to 426 of the family's 1533-position model. The record is from RNAcentral.
GACGAACGCUGGCGGCGUGCUUAACACAUGCAAGUCGAGCGGUAAGGCCCUUUCGGGGGUACACGAGCGGCGAACGGGUGAGUAACACGUGGGUGACCUGCCCUUAGCUCUGGGAUAAGCCUGGGAAACUGGGUCUAAUACCGGAUAUGACUCCAUGACGCAUGUUGUGGGGUGAAAGCCCUUGUGCGGCUAGGGAUGGGCCCNCGGCCUAUCAGCUUGUUGGUGGGGUGAUGGCCACCAAGGCGACGACGGGUAGCCGGCCUGAGAGGGCGACCGGCCACACUGGGGACUGAGACACGGCCCAGACUCCUACCGGGAGGCAGCAGUGGGGAAUCUUGCGCAAUGGGCGAAAGCCUGACGCAGCGACGCCGCGUGGGGAUGACGGCCUUCGGUUGU